This 271-nucleotide ribosomal RNA is filed under the name uncultured bacterium. Its description in RNAcentral is "partial 16S ribosomal RNA". It matches the Rfam family "Bacterial small subunit ribosomal RNA", at positions 524 to 794 of the family's 1533-position model. The record is from RNAcentral.
UACGUAGGGUGCAAGCGUUAAUCGGAAUUACUGGGCAUAAAGCGCGUGUAGGCGGCAUUGUAAGUCGGGUGUGAAAUCCCUCGGCCUAACCGAGGAAUUGCGCUCGAAACUACUUUGCUUGAGGAUCAGAGGGGAGCCUGGAAUUCCUGGUGGAGCGGUGAAAUGCGUUGAUAUCAGGAGGAACACCGGCGGCGAAGGCAAGGCUCUGGCUGAUUUCUGACGCUGAGACGCGAAAGCUAGGGGAGCAAACGGGAUUAGAAACCCUUGUAGU